RNAcentral lists this microRNA precursor (67 nucleotides) under Monodelphis domestica (gray short-tailed opossum). RNAcentral describes it as "mir-3064 microRNA precursor family". It matches the Rfam family "mir-3064 microRNA precursor family". RNAcentral also lists the same sequence under 1 other name. Lineage: Eukaryota; Metazoa; Chordata; Mammalia; Didelphimorphia; Didelphidae. The record is from Rfam by way of RNAcentral.
GGUCUGGCUGUUGUGGUGUGCAAAACUUCCUAUGUUGCUUUUUUGCCACACUGCAACACUUUACAGA